UAGGGAAUAUUGCAUAAUGGGCGAAAGCCUGAUGCAGCAACGCCGCGUGUGCGAUGACGGCCUUCGGGUUGUAAAGCACUUUUGGAAGGGAUGAGGAAGGACAGUACCUUCUGAAUAAGCCUCGGCUAACUACGUGCCAGCAGCCGCGGUAAAACGUAGGAGGCGAGCGUUAUCCGGAUUUACUGGGCGUAAAGCGCGUGCAGGCGGUUCGGUAAGUCGGAUGUGAAAGCUCCUGGCUUAACUGGGAGAGGUCGUUCAAUACUACCGGACUUGAGUGUGGGAGAGGGAGGUGGAAUUCCGGGUGUAGUGGUGAAAUGCGUAGAUAUCCGGAGGAACACCAGUGGCGAAAGCGGCCUCCUGGCCCAAUACUGACGCUCAGACGCGAAAGCUAGGGGAGCGA
Molecule: ribosomal RNA, 400 nt
Filed under: uncultured bacterium
Lineage: Bacteria
Description: bacterial SSU rRNA
Rfam family: Bacterial small subunit ribosomal RNA
Source: RNAcentral